RNAcentral lists this ribosomal RNA (465 nucleotides) under uncultured bacterium. RNAcentral's name for it is "partial 16S ribosomal RNA". It matches the Rfam family "Bacterial small subunit ribosomal RNA", at positions 28 to 507 of the family's 1533-position model. The record is from RNAcentral.
GACGAACGCUGGCGGCGUGCUUAACACAUGCAAGUCGUACGGUAAGGCCCUUUCGGGGGUACACGAGUGGCGAACGGGUGAGUAACACGUGAGUAACCUGCCCACAACUUUGGGAUAACGCUAGGAAACUGGUGCUAAUACUGGAUAUGUGCCCCUGCUGCAUGGGGGGGGUUGGAAAGCUCCGGCGGUUGUGGAUGGACUCGCGGCCUAUCAGCUUGUUGGUGGGGUAGUGGCCUACCAAGGCGGCGACGGGUAGCCGGCCUGAGAGGGUGACCGGCCACAUUGGGACUGAGAUACGGCCCAGACUCCGACGGGAGGCAGAAGUGGGGAAUAUUGCACAAUGGGCGCAAGCCUGAUGCAGCAACGCCGCGUGCGGGAUGACGGCCUUCGGGUUGGAAACCGCUUUCAGCAGGGACGAAGCUUUUUGUGACGGUACCUGCAGAAGAAGCACCGGCUAACUACGUG